GACCUCGUAGCUCAGUUGGCUAGAGCGUUGGCUGUAUAAAUGCCUUCCACUUGCUGACGUGGGUUCGAAUCCCACCGAAGCUG
RNAcentral lists this transfer RNA (83 nucleotides) under Schistocephalus solidus. It matches the Rfam family "tRNA". From Rfam's summary of the family: Transfer RNA (tRNA) molecules are approximately 80 nucleotides in length. The record is from Rfam by way of RNAcentral. Lineage: Eukaryota; Metazoa; Platyhelminthes; Cestoda; Diphyllobothriidea; Diphyllobothriidae.